This 207-nucleotide long non-coding RNA is filed under the name Elaeis guineensis (African oil palm). RNAcentral's name for it is "long non-coding RNA (EGUI_LNC030806)". Lineage: Eukaryota; Viridiplantae; Streptophyta; Magnoliopsida; Arecales; Arecaceae. The record is from RNAcentral.
UUUUUUUUAUUUGGUGAGUUGGAUGAACUAAUUAAGAUGAGUAUAAAUACAUUUAUGGGAAUCAGAAAGUAAAAUAUUCAAAAAUUAAGACAGGAGAUAUAUUGAAGAAUCCUAAGAUGUACGUCAAGCCAUUAUUUUAGCUCAACGAGCAUCGCUUGGAUACAUGAUUACUCCACUGUGCCACAUGAGUUUUCAAAUAGAGGAUGA